This 441-nucleotide long non-coding RNA is filed under the name Pan troglodytes (chimpanzee). Its description in RNAcentral is "long non-coding RNA NONPTRT015630". The record is from RNAcentral. Lineage: Eukaryota; Metazoa; Chordata; Mammalia; Primates; Hominidae.
GUCCGCAGGCUUCUGCCUGGCCGUCGCCGCCUAUAAGCUACCAGGAGGAGCUUUACGACUUCCCGGCCUGCGGGAAGUGGCGGGCACGAUCGCAAGGUAGCGCAGAAGCUUCUCAAUGGCCAGCGCCAGCUGCAGCCCCUGCGGCGCACUCGCCUCACCUGAGCCUGGGAGGAAAAUUCUUCCAAGGAUGAUCUCCCACUCAGAGCUGAGGAAGCUUUUCUACUCAGCAGAUGCUGUGUGUUUUGAUGUUGACAGCACGGUCAUCAGUGAAGAAGGAAUCGGACGGAGUCUCGCUCUGUCACCAGGCUGGAGUGCAAUGGUGCAAUCUCGGCUCACUGCAACCUCCGCCUCCUGGGUUCAAGCAAUUCUCCUGCCUCCACCUCCUGAGUAGCUGAAACUACAGGCACGCACCACCACACCCGGCUUAUUUUUGUAUUUUUA